This is a long non-coding RNA of Perca fluviatilis (European perch), 1479 nucleotides long. RefSeq lists it as uncharacterized. The transcript is spliced from 3 exons. NCBI's taxonomy places the organism in Eukaryota, Metazoa, Chordata, Actinopteri, Perciformes, Percidae. The record is from RefSeq and is a predicted model, not a curated record.
UGUGCGGUGUAUGGAACACAGGAAGGACUUUGACGGGCUUGCCGGGAGUUCUGCCUUCUGGAUCUCUGGACAUGGCUGGCAAGGGUGGUUCUAGCUUGCGCUGUUAACAGACACCCUAGUCGGCCAUGUGUCUCCUUCAGCUGUCCUUGAUGGGGUGAGAGUGGAGUGGGGACCUGCCUGGGAUCCGUUGAUUGGGCCGGGGAUCUGGACCUCCGGGUGUAGUUUGUGCCGGAAGCUUCGACGCCUUCGGCGCCGAGACUUCCUUUAUAUCUCCCCUAACCCUAUUGGUGUCAUAUGAUAAAGCAUAUCAGCAAUCUAAAAACUGCAACAUUUACAAACAAAAAUGAUCUGACAUCAGCAUAGAUCUGAGCUAAGGUGUCAAAUAUAUUCAUUGAAACUUGCUGCAUUUGUGGCUAUAGAAUCUGAAAUGAACAGCAAAUUGUGCUUUGUCAUUACAGACUGUUGAAGUAUGGCACAGAUAUUAGCUGGAGCAGAGUUAGCACUGGCUACUCUAUCUGGUAUUUCUGUGUCUACUGAUAUCCUGGGAAAAGCUGUCAACACAGGGGAUCGAAACAUUUCAAUCCAUCUAACAAAUUACAGCAAGAAAUACAUCCUCACAAAUCCACAGGUAUAUACCUACAAUGGAUAUUGCUACAACCUCCCCCAACCCACUGUGAGAAUGGAGGAAACAGAAACAUGCUCAUUCUCCAACUGUGAUUUUCAAGACUUUUUAGGGGGCGCUGUGGGGGUCCUGACUUACGCCAUCGCUGAUGAGCAGAAGACAUGAAAGUCUCGUCAUAAUUUUCUCUGUGCCAUACAAUUACAUUGAGUCUAAAAAUGUAUUUGCUCUGGGCUUCCUUGGGGAUAAUUUUGUAGUUAAUGAAGAGUUGUACAACAAAAUGUAUUCUUCCGAUGGACCAUUUUCUAGAAUGGAGACAUAUGGAUCUGAAAACACCUAUAAGGGCAAUUGUUGCACUGUAAGGGGUACAAUGACUCCACUGAGCAAAUCAGUCAUGAAAAUUGAGUUAUGGGAUAACUAGUUUCAUGGAUCCUGAGUUUUGUGUGCAAGAACUGUUUAAUAUUGGCAUUGCAUUAAAGGAGAAAUCCGUCGACUGUUCACAGAGAUCUGUUUCUCGAGGUGACGAGUACUAUCCGUAUGAAAAAAACCUGGAAAACAAUUAGUUUUACCUAACUCAGGUUGCUGCAGCCAACAGCUAAAGCAACCUAAACCUAAAACCGAUUGUUUUUGGGGGUUUACCGUUAGUAAAUUUGCAGUGGUCUCUUAAUUUUUAACAUGACCGUCAACUCAUUUGAAUGUCACUCAGCAACCGUAGGAUGACAUCAGAAAAAAUGUGCAGUGGUCUCUUCAUUUUUUUCCAGAGCUGUCUAGAUAUAACAUUCUCUUACCCUGGGUGGUGAUAUAAAGGAAAUCAGUUUGGUGAACAGUAGUGAUGUAAUGUCUGUAACUUGCAAAAACAA